Molecule: long non-coding RNA, 1677 nt
Organism: Corvus hawaiiensis (hawaiian crow)
Lineage: Eukaryota; Metazoa; Chordata; Aves; Passeriformes; Corvidae
Exons: 2
Source: RefSeq, a predicted model, not a curated record
UUCGGCCAAGUACUGGAUUCCCACUAACUGAAGAGUUAAUAGCUGGGAGUGACAGUUAAUUUUCCAUAAACCAUCAGAAGUUGGGAAGCCCACUUACAGCCUCUGCUUACAUGUGCUUAUUUUUCUGUCCUCUUUAGUGCUUUAAUGCAAAUACUUCUAAAGUUUUUCAAGUGUGUGGAUUUGUCACAAUCACUACCUUGUUUCAUCUGUCCCCCUCCAGAGUGCUGAAGAACAAAAGACCUUCCAGUGCCAGCAAGGCUGGAGCACAGUAGCAGCGUGGACAUGUGUGGGGCAGUGUAUUUAGACUGGCCUCAUUUACAGUUUGCAAUCCCCAAAACUUUCUGGUCUUAAGCAUUUUGAACUUAAAAGCCUAGUUUUGGAAUAGUGUUUUCCAAGUCCUUUAUUUUAGUAUUAUCGAACACGUUGCCAGACUACCUAUGCAUGUUACAUCACUGAAAUGAUGAACAAUAAAAUGCUUUUAACUCAUGCAUUUUGUUGAGAAUUCCCUGAGACCAGAAGAAAAAAAGGUGAAUAAGGCUCUCUGAAUUGUAGCUUUCCUGAUGAAAUGAAGCAAGAGAAAGUCUCCAGGAGUUUUUUCUUCUGUUUUCUUGUCUGGCUGAAACUGAGGUGAAACUCAAGAGCUGGCACAGUUCAUGUCAGCUAGCCUGGACUCAUCGAGGGAUUUUGAAUCUGUUGGCUGCUGUCAGCUAGCUUUGACAGCGUAGUAGAGGUCUUGAAGAUAAAGAAGAUGUGCUAUCAAAGAAAAUGGACAGCUGUCAAGGAGCCUGCAGAGCUCUCCUGAACAAGGGGGAGGCUGCUACCCUUACCAGCUGUCACUGGAUGCCCCGAGGACUCCUUUCAAACUGAGUCUGACGGACUUCUGACUGUGGUUGCACUGCUUGAUGUACAAUGUGUAGGUGUUAACUCUAACAUGUUGGUGUAAACAUGGCUUUGGCCAUUUAAUUAUGGCCUUGUAGCCAUAUCAGUCAACUCCAUGGGGUCACUUGGAGAUCAGGAUUCGGAGAGAUUCAUUCACCUUUUUCUCUGCUGGUUUCAGGGAGCUCAGAAUAUGCUGCUAUUGCCCUGCUGUGGAUACAAUUGUGAUUUUCAUACGGUGUAAUCAUGUAGUACCAGUGGCCCAAACGACAGUGGAUUUCCAACAUAGUGUCACUAGGUCAUAUUGCUUGAUUUGUUCUGGUUUUAGGUCUCAGCCAGCAUUACAUUGAAACUACUUGUUAUUGAUGUUUAUGGAAAAAAAUAGCCCAAAGAGUGAUGAAGAUAUUUUAUUUACAGACUACCAGUUUUUAACUGUGUCUGGAUAUUGAAUUGUGUUUUUAAAAAGUGUACUUUCUACAAAAUGAUUUGAUAAACACUGACGAAGUUAAAAAAACCUGCCAAACCAAACAAAUCUCUGAUAGGAAAGAGAAAUUGUGUGAUCCUUAAAAUUGCAACAACUUUGCUUUUCCUGUAGUUACAGAAAGUGAUGAAGAAUUUCUUGUGUAGAAGGGUUUUUGCUUGGUUUUUAAAAGUACACAGUUGAAUUCAUGUUCCUUUCUUGAGUUACCUCUGACAAAGGAAAGCCCUCUUGGUCUGUGUAAUUUGAUGGGACAUCAGGGCAAGUGCACAGUUACUAUGUAAUCAAGGUACCAGACAAUUAAAGGUUCUUUCUGUGCCACA